GACGAACGCUGGCGGCGUGCUUAACACAUGCAAGUCGAGCGGUAAGGCCCUUUCGGGGGUACACGAGCGGCGAACGGGUGAGUAACACGUGGGUGACCUGCCCUCAGCUCUGGGAUAAGCCUGGGAAACUGGGUCUAAUACCGGAUAUGACUCCACGGCGCAUGUUGUGGGGUGGAAAGCCUUGUGUGGCUAGAGAUGGGCCCGCGGCCUAUCAGCUUGUUGGUGGGGNGAUGGCCUACCAAGGCGACGACGGGUAGCCGGCCUGAGAGGGCGACCGGCCACACUGGGACUGAGACACGGCCCAGACUCCUACGGGAGGGCAGCAGUGGGGAAUCUUGCGCAAUGGGCGAAAGCCUGACGCAGCGACGCCGCGUGA
RNAcentral lists this ribosomal RNA (376 nucleotides) under uncultured bacterium. RNAcentral describes it as "bacterial SSU rRNA". It matches the Rfam family "Bacterial small subunit ribosomal RNA", at positions 28 to 404 of the family's 1533-position model. The record is from RNAcentral.